AUAUACGGCCAUAUCACGUUGAAAGCACCGGUUCUCGUCCGAUCACCGAAGUGAAGCAACGUUGAGCCUAGUCAGUACUUAGAUGGGUGACCGUUUGGGAAACCUAGGUGCAGUAAGCA
RNAcentral lists this ribosomal RNA (119 nucleotides) under Octopus vulgaris (common octopus). The record is from RNAcentral. Lineage: Eukaryota; Metazoa; Mollusca; Cephalopoda; Octopoda; Octopodidae. RNAcentral also lists the same sequence under 1 other name.